Molecule: long non-coding RNA, 892 nt
Organism: Artibeus jamaicensis (Jamaican fruit-eating bat)
Lineage: Eukaryota; Metazoa; Chordata; Mammalia; Chiroptera; Phyllostomidae
Exons: 4
Source: RefSeq, a predicted model, not a curated record
GGGUGGCAGCUCAGAGCACAUGCCAGCUCCUGAGCCGCAGCUAUUUCAGAUUGUUUGGAUUCCACCACGCUGCAGGCAAGCCUUCCGUGGGUCCAUUUAAAUCCACCCUCCCACCCCGGUCCCUUCCUCCAUCCCCAUAACUCGUUUCCUCCACACUCCCAGGGAGUCAGAAGAAAAUGUUAAGCCCCAUGUGGCCAACGCAUCCUGCCAUGGAAACAGGCAUAUUUCUUCUCCUUGGGAGAGUCUCGGCUGUGGAAUUUCCAAAUGCCCUGACUGCCCCCUGCACUGGACUCUGAGACUUUCAAUGCAUGACUCAUUUCACUCUGAGGGAAGUGGAGACCAGCACCCAAGUACUGCUCCCCAUGGCCACCUGUUGUCCUGUCACCUUGCUCCUCCAGGGGACCAGCUGAGGGAACCGCUUCCUAAGUGGCCACUUCCACUCCUGUCCUCUAACUCAGCACAUACACAGGAGACAGCAUAAGCCUGUAAAAAUCUAAAUGGAUUGUGUCCUUCUCUAAUAAAGCCCAAGCAUCGCUCCUGCCUGCAUGGUGGGUAAGAUCCAAGUUCUUUAACUUGGCCCGAGACACUCAAGUGACCUGACGCCUGCACACCCACUGCAGAUCUCUGGUGUCAUCACCAGAGGGUCCCAGGACUUGUCCCUUCAGUCUCCCACAAGUGCAGAGGGCCUGCAUCCCCAGCUUGUCCGGUGUCUGGGAGAAGACUUUAAGAGCUGACGCUGCAGGUUACAGAUCUUUGUUCUGAGCCUAACAUAGCUGUUCUUCAUCUUCUGGUGGUUGAGCAUUUAUCAAAGGUUUCAUAUUCUUAAUAAAUUGCCCUUUCUUUAAAAACCCCUUGUUUCUGACAUUGACCUUUUGGUACCUGUAUAUUAAGA